RNAcentral lists this ribosomal RNA (298 nucleotides) under Teleopsis sp. n. 'pseudogracilifemur'. RNAcentral describes it as "partial 12S ribosomal RNA". Lineage: Eukaryota; Metazoa; Arthropoda; Insecta; Diptera; Diopsidae. The record is from RNAcentral.
GUAAUAGUUAUGUUCUUGAAACUUAAAAAAUUUGGCGGUAUUUUAGUCUAUUCAGAGGAAUUUGUCCUGUAAUUGAUAAUCCACGUUGGACCUUACUUAAGUUUGUUUGCAGUUUAUAUACCGUCGUUAUCAGAAUAUUUUAUAAGAAUUAAUAAUUUUCAGUAAUUUAUAUUAGAUUUUAUUUCAGAUCAAGGUGUAGCUUAUAUUUAAGUGGAGAUGAGUUACAUUAAAAAUAUUUAUAUGGAUAUUAAUAUGAAAAAUUAAUUAAAAGUGGAUUUGGAAGUAAAAUUAUAAAGAU